This 496-nucleotide ribosomal RNA is filed under the name uncultured bacterium. Its description in RNAcentral is "partial 16S ribosomal RNA". It matches the Rfam family "Bacterial small subunit ribosomal RNA", at positions 28 to 506 of the family's 1533-position model. The record is from RNAcentral.
GAUGAACGCUGGCGGCGUGCCUAAUACAUGCAAGUCGAGCGAACAGACGAGGAGCUUGCUCCUCUGACGUUAGCGGCGGACGGGUGAGUAACACGUGGAUAACCUACCUAUAAGACUGGGAUAACUUCGGGAAACCGGAGCUAAUACCGGAUAAUAUAUUGAACCGCAUGGUUCAAUAGUGAAAGACGGUUUUGCUGUCACUUAUAGAUGGAUCCGCGCCGCAUUAGCUAGUUGGUAAGGUAACGGCUUACCAAGGCAACGAUGCGUAGCCGACCUGAGAGGGUGAUCGGCCAAACUGGAACUGAGACACGGUCCAGACUCCUACGGGAGGCAGCAGUAGGGAAUCUGCCGCAAUGGGCGAAGGCCUGACGGAGCAACGCCGCGUGAGUGAUGAAGGUCUUCGGAUCGUAAAACUCUGUUAUUAGGGAAGAACAAAUGUGUAAGUAACUAUGCACGUCUUGACGGUACCUAAUCAGAAAGCCACGGCUAACUACGU